UACGUAGGGCGCAAGCGUUGUCCGGAAUUAUUGGGCGUAAAGAGCUCGUAGGCGGUUUGUCGCGUCUGGUGUGAAAACUCAAGGCUCAACCUUGAGCUUGCAUCGGGUACGGGCAGACUAGAGUGCGGUAGGGGUGACUGGAAUUCCUGGUGUAGCGGUGGAAUGCGCAGAUAUCAGGAGGAACACCGAUGGCGAAGGCAGGUCACUGGGCCGCAACUGACGCUGAGGCGCGAAAGCUAGGGGAGCAAACAGG
RNAcentral lists this ribosomal RNA (253 nucleotides) under uncultured bacterium. RNAcentral's name for it is "partial 16S ribosomal RNA". It matches the Rfam family "Bacterial small subunit ribosomal RNA", at positions 524 to 776 of the family's 1533-position model. The record is from RNAcentral.